Molecule: long non-coding RNA, 907 nt
Organism: Homo sapiens (human)
Lineage: Eukaryota; Metazoa; Chordata; Mammalia; Primates; Hominidae
Gene: ZFHX3-AS1
Product: ZFHX3 antisense RNA 1
Source: Ensembl
GAGGUGGCUUCCGGCCGCCAGGCGAGACUCCGCGGGAAAACUCCCUGCUAGAGAGACUAGGAGAUUUGGGGCUGCGGCCGUUUCCUCCGGAGCACCCACGGGACUGUGUGCUGGGGUCCCUCCACCGGCUGUGUCCUUUAUUCUUCUUUCUCACCCAACGAUUUACCUGAACGGUUAUAAAGUGCACGUUAUUUCCCUAAGCACUUUGAGUAUAUUGGCCCACUGCAUUCUGGACUUCAAAAUUUCUGAUGCGAAAUAUGCUGAUACUUUUGUUGAAGAAAUCUGGGCUUUGAGCAUCUGUAAGAUAUUUGUUGGAAGGUUUUGUCUGGUCCUUCUUACUGAUGUGUUGCUCUUCUUCAUGGCUCGUGAAAACUAUUAGAGUCAUCCAAGGGUGGGAAGAGAGAUCAGCAACGUUAACUGGGUGUCAAGAAAACAUACCGAGAUUGAAGCCAUCCACUUCUGCAGGAACACCGAAAAGAAAGCUUACAAUCUGAAGGUGUCCGUUCCUACACUGGUCAGACCACUGUCCUUGGGGCAGCUGGGGUCUUUGGGACCCUCCACCGGGCUCGCCGGUCCGUCGGACUUUUGGCUGAGAUCCGUGUCAGACUCCUCCGAAUAGUCGUCUGUUGGCAUCGAGGGCUGAACCCCUGAGGUGCUGCAUGAACUUGAGGUAACCGUUGAAGAUGAGGAGAGAGGAGGAAAAGAAGGGGGCUUCGCUGCCGAAGCCCGGGAGACCACUUGCGGCCAAGACUUCCUGGAGGCGUGGGGGGAAGCGGAGGAGGGGGCGGCGGCCGACGGGGGAGGGGGGCUGUCGUUUGAGUGAGCGGCAGACUGCGAGGUAGAUGCGGUGCUAGGAUCGGGGAAGCAGGCAGAGUGAGGUAAUAAACUAGGGUGCUCUUUGGCGUUU